This 66-nucleotide transfer RNA is filed under the name Ceratocombus sp. HL-2012. Its description in RNAcentral is "tRNA-Leu". Lineage: Eukaryota; Metazoa; Arthropoda; Insecta; Hemiptera; Ceratocombidae. The record is from RNAcentral.
GCUAUUUUGGCAGAUUAAUGUUUUAAGUUUAGGAUUUAUUUAUGUAAUUAUAUAUUACAGGUAGUA